This 254-nucleotide ribosomal RNA is filed under the name uncultured bacterium. RNAcentral describes it as "partial 16S ribosomal RNA". It matches the Rfam family "Bacterial small subunit ribosomal RNA", at positions 524 to 777 of the family's 1533-position model. The record is from RNAcentral.
UACGAAGGGGGCUAGCGUUGCUCGGAAUCACUGGGCGUAAAGGGUGCGUAGGCGGGUCUUUAAGUCAGGGGUGAAAUCCUGGAGCUCAACUCCAGAACUGCCUUUGAUACUGAGGAUCUUGAGUCCGGAAGAGGUGAGUGGAACUCCUAGUGUAGAGGUGGAAUUCGUAGAUAUUAGGAAGAACACCAGUGGCGAAGGCGGCUUACUGGUCCGGUUCUGACGCUGAGGCGCGAAAGCGUGGGGAGCAAACAGGG